GGCGCUGCCCGAAAUGCUUGGAAGGCUAGUUGGGGAGGGUAGCGCCUGCUAAGCGUUGCUCAUACCCGAGACAGGCGAGAUCGUUCAUGGGCUUUGUUUGGCUUUGCGGCCUUGCAUCUGCUCCUCUGGCGGUUUCGUGCUGGGCGAACCUCUCGAAGCAUCACACGGUCAUUGCCCACCACAGCUCGUUGCUUGGUCACCCGCUGAGUCUUGAUGUGCAGGAUGUUUCAUCCACUUUCCAGGCUAUUGAAGUUGACGCGUGGAUGGGCAGAAUCCCGCACGGAGGGCUUGUCCGUGCGUGGGUUGUGGCUCGCGUCACGCCUGUGAAAUCUGUGGCUCUGACUGCCGACUUGUGGACGUGGUGUGAUCCAUUCGGCGACGAAGCUGCAAUUGGCCAGACACAUACAGCGCCCAGCCCUCUCGUCAUGUGCCGACGGAGGGUACCUGCGGGCAGGCUGCUUGCGUCGCAUGCGAAGCAUACGCUCAGCCUGGGAUGCUGGUCUGAUUGGUGAUGUUCUGGCGACCAUCGGUCACGUCUCGAAACACGGGCCAAGGAGUAUAGCAUGUGUGCAAGUCUAAGGGUCUCACAAAACCCGAGGGCGAAGUGAAAGCAAAGGUGUGGCGGCGCAUUGCUGCGCCGUCAGCCAUGUCAAAGUGGUUGCUAGUACCGAGCUGAUCCUGCUUUCCCAUGCUGGGGACAGGCGCAAGCUCCGGGCUCACGAUUGUUGGUUCGGCAAGCUUCUCCUUCACGGGAGUUGCGGGCUGGACGGUGAGCACCGCGGAGCACAUAUGCUAUGACCCGAAAGAUAGUGAACUAUGCCUGGCGAGGGUGAAGCCCCAGGAAACUGGGGUGGAGGCCCGUAGCCGUUGUGACGUGCAAAUCCAUGGCGUCAG
RNAcentral lists this ribosomal RNA (894 nucleotides) under Hyalella azteca. RNAcentral's name for it is "partial 28S ribosomal RNA". The stretch from base 550 to 894 matches the Rfam family "Eukaryotic large subunit ribosomal RNA", at positions 666 to 910 of the family's 3401-position model. Lineage: Eukaryota; Metazoa; Arthropoda; Malacostraca; Amphipoda; Hyalellidae. The record is from RNAcentral.